This is a long non-coding RNA of Passer domesticus (house sparrow), 4202 nucleotides long. RefSeq lists it as uncharacterized. The record is from RefSeq and is a predicted model, not a curated record. NCBI's taxonomy places the organism in Eukaryota, Metazoa, Chordata, Aves, Passeriformes, Passeridae. The transcript has 3 exons.
GUGUGUGUGUGCGUGUGUAAAUAUGCAGCGUGGCCUCCAGUUCCAUGUGUUGUUUUCGUUUUUUUUUCUUAGAAAGGAUGUUUUCAUGUCUUAGGACAACACAAUUACCAACUGGUCUGAGCCAAUACGUGGGGUUUUUUCCCUAGCAGACAGCCUAACAAACUCUGUGCAAUAUUAACCAUGCAGAAAGGUCAGCCAAGCACUUGCAGACAUCCAGAUCUCCCUUGUUGCUCCUUGAGUUCAAAGUGUGGCUCCAUUGUGUCCAUGUUGCUGAGCAAGCACACUUUCAAUUGUGCCCCAGCAGGCCAGGAGCAGUUUCCUGAGGAUCACAAAUGAAAGUCAGAAAAUGUGAUUUUUCAAAGUGAGGAUGGUGUCUCCAAAAAAACCUGAGCAAAAUUUCACACCAUGGGGAGAGAAUGAUUCCCAAAGCUACGGGCAUCCUCCAGAUCCAUCUCACAGCCAUCAGUGCAGUCAGCACUGGAAGACCUCAAGGGGGAAGAAGGGAAAGUCAAGAUGUCAUCAAUGUGAAUGUGAAAGCUUUGGACAGGGAUGAAAGGCACUACAAUAAUACAAGUUGUUGCAGUGGUUAUCAGUAGCUUCCAACAGAGAUUUGUCUUCAGAGGGCAAGACCCUAAUGAUGCUACAGAAAGGAUCUCAUUAAAUAUCCAAGUUAAGAAGACUAGUUCAAAAACAAGAUGGAUAAGGCACAGUGUUCUUUAAAUGACUGCUGAACAUUUUUGAGGAUUAGCCUUCCUUGCUGGUAAAUGUACAUUAAACCGAAAGUUAUUAUUAAGGUGAUUUUAUCUUAGUGAGUUUGUCAUCCAAAUGGGAUUUUAUAGGAUAUGUUGGGAAUUUUCCAACAGAAACUAUUUUUGGAAAAAUGCAGCUUUAUCAAAACCACAGGGUUUUUUUAUGGAAAUGUACAUGCCAGCUUUGACACAGAUGGAAUUUUCACAUCAGAAAAUCAAAGUAGAGAAGCCUAAGUCAUAACAGCCUUCUAGCUUGGCUCAUUUAUCUAGCUAUGGGGAAGACUGAGAUUUCUGGAUGUGCAUGACUCUGCCUGAAGAUCUGUUUUCUACCCUCGAGGAAAGUACUCCUUUCACCCAGCUGUGCUGGGAUGAGUUGUUUUUCAUCUAGAAGCAAGAGAGUGAGAAAAUGAGGUUUGCUUUGCAGCCCAGUGGUCAUGACUCACAUGUGCAGUGUCAUUGCCAGAGAUGCAAUGUGACGAUAGCACCAACACACAAGAAAAGAAACCAAAGGGCAUUCAUGUCUCUGGUCAGAUAACAGCAGAGAAGAUUCAGUGAUCUGCCUUCUCCCAUUUUAGUUCCAAUUGCAUCUUGUGACUGCAGACAGACACAGUAUGCAUGGAAAAUACACUUGGCAGCAGACACCGUCAGAACAUGGUAUUCCAGUGAUAUAAAGGACUACAAAAGGAGAAGACACUCAAGAAGGGACAAGUAUUUCAUCUUUCCAAGGGAGUGACUGAUGACGAAAGCUUAGAUACAUUCUAGAGAAACACUCUGUGAUCGGUAAAAAUAAGAGGCUUUUGCUUCCACAUAUCUUAUCUCUUGGCAGGAAUUCAGCCAUUUCAGAUUUUCUCCAGGUAUCUAGAAUUGCUAAGUAAGCAUGCCACUGCAAUAAAAGAACAUGCUGUAGCAAGAUAAUAAAUGUGACUUGCUUAACAACUGUGUUAUCUUGUAUGGCCAGGCACAAGAGUAGAUAGCAUAAUCUAAGCAUACAUGUGCCUUUUGCAAAGAGUAUAACAAACUGUAAGUCAAACUCUUUGAAUUAUCAUCCACCCAUUUGCAAUGUAGCCACCCCCCUUGAAAAAUACAUAUAGACAGAAAUUAAAUAUGAAAAUUGUAAUGGAAUUUAUGACAAAACAUGAAGCCUCAUACCUAGUGGAGAAGAGUCACCCACACUUUCUUUCUGUGCUGCAAAAAUACCUUUUGCAAUUAUACUGCCAUGAAUGGACUUCUGCCAAUUUAAUGCUUUGUUUCCCACUACAAGCUGUCAUGACAGGUGUGAUUUUUGUACCUUGUAUUGUGGGAACACCUGACCUUCACAUUAAUGUCUUCAUACCGAUAACAGCUAAAAGCCCUUCCCCACUGCAAUACUUCACAUUCUUUUGUCUGCUUGGUUUCUGUCUGAUUAAAAGUCCAGGGUUCAUUUUGAAGCAAAGCAAGAACAUUUUCAAGUAUUUCCAAUCAAGCUUUCAUUUGUUAAACAUGAAAGUGUUUGCAGACAUACUAAGUUGUUUGUACCAGAUAUAGCUAUAGAUAAUGAUGUUAAUCUUUUUUCUGGUCAUACUUUAUAUUUAAAAUACAAUUACAAAUGGCUUUAAGUAGAUUAGAAUUAUUACUUUAGAAUCAAAAUCCUACCAUGAGGCCUGAUAGGUUGCUUUGAAAACAUUGUUUGCUAUCUUCCAGAAUACAUACAGUAUACCAAUUUUCUGUAGCUAUGUAACAUGUUUAUAGUAUUUAUUAAUCAUUAACUAGCCUCUUAUAAUCUUAUUUUCAUUCUUUAUACUAAGCCUUUAAGACUUGGUGCAAAGAAUAAUAUUUCUCUAUUCUUUACCAUCCCUUUUUAUCAGAUACUAGUCUUCUGAGAAUUUUUAACUGGUGCAUCUUCUUUAUGAAUGGAAUGCACACCACCAAUUUAAAACACAGAUUAUGGAUUUUUAGUUCUCACUUAAAGGAAGGAGUUAAAUGAUACUCAAAUCUUGAACUGAGCCUUGGCCCAGGACUGUAUUUGACCCCAGAGACUUCAUCACUAAUGCAAACUCACCAACCAGUUACAGUCAGAGUGGCAGAGGUUUUUGAAACCACUUGUGCUUUGCCUUAUCUUAUGAUUGUAAGGUGUAGAUGACCUCUUAGGUGACAUCCAGGUCAAACUGGAAUUUCAUCCCCAGUGUCAUUUCCUAGAUGGAAUGAGCUGGAACCAAAUCUCAAGCUCCAUUCACCUGCUGGACCUGUACAGGUGUCCCAUAAUGUCCUGCUCAGUGUAUUGGUGUGGGAUGUAUCCAGCAACAACUUUCUCUUGGGCACUUCUGGUCCCCUGCUGAACAGUGACUACAACAGUAGUCUAAGAAUACUGCUCGAACUACUGGAAUGAGAAUAUCAAUUUCAUUUCUAUCUGGGUAUUAAUCACUACUGAUUAAAAUCCUUGUUUUAAAAGGAAAACAAGAUUUCUCUGCUUGGAGGGCAUGUAUAUGCUGUAUUUGCUUCUUUUUACUUUUUAUUCUAUAAGAGUUCCAAUGCAAUAUUUCACCAAAAGGAAGAAGUUGGGAUUUUAUGUGAUCUCAUUUGCAUGCACAGUGUGCCUUGCCUUGUAAGAAUAUAUUUAACUUGCUUCUUUCCUUUGUUAGCAUGUUUUACUAUUAGAAGUGAUGGCUCAUAAAAAGAUUGGGGUUUUGUACUGCAGUCUUCAAUGUGGACAACCUGAAAAACAUGCUCCUGAAGUUUAUUUUUUCACCCUUCAAAAAUUGUUUUGGUUUUUAUAUGUGAGCAUGUCUAGAAGAGUCAUGUAACUACCACUGAAUGGCCCAAUUGGGGAAACUAUAUUCUCCAGAUGCAAUAAAAGUUACUUUAUUUUAUUUCCUGUUUUCUGGGGAGGAAAUGACUUCUAAAAGUCUCCUAUGAUUUUGCAAGAAAUAAAAGAAGAUAAUUUAGUUCCUUCAAAUUAUACAUUUCUACAGCAUUCCUUUUAAUAAAAAUAUGCCAUUUUCAGAAGAAGUAAAAGAGGGAUUUUCUAAUUGCAAUGUUUUCAUUUAAUUAGAUUUAAUCAGAUAUUUUGUAGCACACUGAAUGUGUACAUAUGGGCGUUCGAUAAAAUUCUUAUUACUCUCAUGUCUCUUGAAGAUACUUAUAAACACUGAAUGACAGACUACAUUUCACCAAAUUUACUACAAUAUUUUUUAAUUAGAGGCAGAUUUCAGUUUAGUCAUGAUAAAAAGCUCAAUUUUAAUUCCAUGUAACCAUUUGGAAAACUUUGGUACUGCUGUAAAAAUGUAGAGGAAUUUUCAAACUUUUAGUUUGGUUAACUCUACAGUGCAUAGUAUUGAUAGCAACAGUAAAAAUGUCCUGUGUGCUAAAACUAGACCUAAAGAGAUAAUGUAAUUAUUAAAUAGCUUCAAGUACAUUGAAAUACAUUUGAAUUUCUUGAUGAAAUAUUCUGGUACUUUCUAAAAAUGUGCCUUGCAA